UUAGUUUCCCGGACCUGGCAGAGCGCGGCUGCUGAGGACACGCCGCACCCGUCCCGUGCCCUCUGGUCGGGGAGGCCCCCGGCCUACCCCCAGUGCCGGCCUCCGGGUGGGCGGACGCCGCCAGUGCCGCAGGUGCAGCUCUGAGACAGCCCGCCGCUUCCCCCGCACCCAGCUGCAGUGGUUUCUGCUUCACUACACCCCUGCUGCGGAGAUGGUCUCUCCCUGCUGCCUGCCAUCCCACCCGCCCCACACGCCCACUUAGGAUGAUGCCCGUCUGUGGUUAUCAGCACCCACUCCUCCACCCCACAGUCAAAACUCCGUGGCCCUGGGCAUUGUCCUUUUAUUCUAGAACCUGCCUCUACAUUGCCCUCCUGGAGACAGUCACCCCACCCCCACCCACUCACACCGCUGUCCUGGAGAGGGCCACCCAGCAAGACAGACUGAUUGCCCUUUUUCCAUGA
Molecule: long non-coding RNA, 461 nt
Filed under: Suricata suricatta (meerkat)
Lineage: Eukaryota; Metazoa; Chordata; Mammalia; Carnivora; Herpestidae
Description: lncRNA (ENSSSUG00005003178.1)
Source: RNAcentral